UUCUCUGUGUCAUUAGGUGUAAACAUUUUCUUUUCUUUUUAGGCAUGCGUCCCUGAGGAUUGGCUCACAAUCCAACAAUUGAAUAUCAAGAUGAAACACUGAAGGGCAGGGGAUUUAGCUCAGUGGUUCUGGUGUCUCACAAGUGCAAGGCCCUGAGUUCAAUCCUCCACAAAAAGAAAAGAAAAGAAAAGAAAAAAAGAUGAAUCACUGGAGUGAGAAUGCUACAUGAAGAAGAGAAGAACUGAGAACCCCUGGGAGUUGAUUUCUGGAAAAGAGCAGCUGCCUAUUAUAGGAGGAAUUGCUAACAAUUCAACACAAAAGGCAAGACCAUGGAGGUGGACUUUCCAAGUUGAUGCAGUGUGAAAAGAGCAAGGACAGGCCACUUCCAGGUGGUGUACCAGUACCAACACACAUAUUUGCUCUAGAUCUCAGAUGCGCCCUAUUAUCUGGAGUACAUCAGCUCUACAUAAAAAAUGGAGGACCAAGAACAGUUAAAAGGAGGAAACACGAGAUGGAAUGCUGCAUGAAGGACAAUAAUGAUGGGAAGACUUGGUUGUGUGGAAAUUGAGCUCUUCAAAAGCUGCUUGCUGAGGGU
RNAcentral lists this long non-coding RNA (595 nucleotides) under Fukomys damarensis (Damara mole-rat). RNAcentral's name for it is "lncRNA (ENSFDAG00000022051.1)". Lineage: Eukaryota; Metazoa; Chordata; Mammalia; Rodentia; Bathyergidae. The record is from RNAcentral.